This is a long non-coding RNA of Entelurus aequoreus (snake pipefish), 1946 nucleotides long. RefSeq lists it as uncharacterized. The transcript has 3 exons. The record is from RefSeq and is a predicted model, not a curated record. Lineage: Eukaryota; Metazoa; Chordata; Actinopteri; Syngnathiformes; Syngnathidae.
CAUUUUGUAUCACAUGUGAUAGCAUCUCCUGCUGGGGACAUUAAAGAACUACAGUUAAAACCCCAAAUGACUUAACCUACAAGAAGCCAAACACUUUUAAUGUCUUGAAAUGAGUCUAAAUGACAUAUAGAAAACAUUUAGGAGUGGUUGUCAUGUGACAUGUGUCAUGUGACUAUCACAGCAGGAUGUAGCUUCCCCAAAAUGGCAGUGUCAGUGUUGGGUUGCGGCUUGAACAGAGAACCCCAAUUUUCCAGGCCAGUCUGAGUCUUCACCAAAGUCUCCUGCUGAUUGGAUGUUCCACGAACCCUUCAGGAGGGUCCCUGACCCAAUGCCCGUGCCACCUUAUUUGGCUUCUCUUCUCAUGAGGAGCAGGGGCAUUACUCCGAGUACCUUCCGGAUGACAGAACUUUUACAAAGCCACCUUUGGAGGAAACUCUGCCACGGGCACCUGCAAUUUUGUCCUUUUGAUCACUUCCCAAAACUACUGACCACAGAUCAAAUGAAAGCCUCCUGUGAAGGCGCCAGGGUUGUUUCGUCUGUCCAGCACCACCCUUAGCGUAUCCAGCUGUACGGCCGGGCAGAGGCGAGCCGUCACGACACUGGUGCAGGCCAUGGUGGGGCUGGCGUUGACCUCAAGAAGCCAAGGCCUCAGAUCGUUGCCCAACAUAAAGUCGGCACCGUAUAACUCAAAGCUUGACCUGCGGUGCUCCACCUUGUCCUGGGCUGUCUGCAAGGUGUGGACCACAGCUUGCUGCAUGCCCGGCACCACCAGCGUCUCCCACUUGGCCUCGCGACCCUGCUGCUGCAGAAAGUUCCUAAAGUCAGAGCAGGACCACAUAUUAUCCUUGGGCACGCUCGGGUGGCGCUCGCGUGAUGGCUGAAAAUGCUUCUGGAUGGCGUUGUUGCACAAGUGGACCGAGCUAGGCAGGACAACAGAGAUGAUGAUUCAUUUUAAACAGCAGUUUAAUCCUUAUUACAUUUUUGUGUCUCCCACACCUAUCAAGUUUUUUUGUAGAGUAGGGCUGAGUGGAGAAGCGCAGGUAGCACUCCUUGUAGAACCAGACGGUCAGCGGAUUCCAGUCGGUGACAAGGAACCACUGACGCACAUCAAACUUGGUGUUGUUGACCAGCAGAGGACGCUCAAGGUAUUUCUGAACCACCCACUUGCUAUCUUUCACCACAGUUCGGUCUGAUUCCACCAGCGCUAAAAUGUCCUCCAGACGAUUCAUGCAAACGAUACCUGCAUGGUGAUCACAUCAUGGCGACAGGAUCAGAACUUUGGGCCAGCACAUACUAUGGUUACAUGAAAACUCUGUAUAUAAUUAAUAACUAUUAAAACAAGCAAUUGCUUCACCUCGCCCUCUUGACAUUGCUCCUGGUUUGAUUAUCCAAAUAUUAUUAACGCCAUCGACAUCCAGCUGUGGACAAACUUCCUGCAUUUGGACCAACAUGGCCUGGCAGCGGCCCACAAACUCUGCGCUGCCUCUGAUGGAUGCACCUUUGCUUUUAACACAAAUAUCAAAGUAUCAAUAUCAUAAUGCAAUAUGGACUCAUUUAUAUAGUGUCUCAAAAAGCUGAGCACACCCCUCACAUUUCAGCCACCAUUUUGGGACAAACAAAAAAGUGAACCAAACCUGCGCUCAUUUUUUCUCUACUUUAAAUUGUGAAUAAUUACUUUUUCAAUGGUAAAUUAAAUGACUAAGUGGUUUGAUGGCGCUAUGUGCAGGCAGAAAAAAAGUGCUGUAGCCAUAGAUCCAAUGUUUUCCAGCAGGAAGAUGCUCUGACAAGAGGUCAUUUUGAAAGUAAAUUGUUUAUUAAUAAGUGAAACAGAAUUUGACAUGUGUUUAAUGUCUGUUAAGAGGCAUAAUAUAGGAUUUAGCAGGUCAAAAAUAGGCAUUUUCAGUUAUUUUUAUGUGUGUGUCUAUCAGUUGUGGUUUUUCGGCAUU